RNAcentral lists this long non-coding RNA (249 nucleotides) under Phoenix dactylifera (date palm). RNAcentral describes it as "long non-coding RNA (PDAC_LNC000547)". Lineage: Eukaryota; Viridiplantae; Streptophyta; Magnoliopsida; Arecales; Arecaceae. The record is from RNAcentral.
UCCUCUCUCUCUCUCUCACUCACACACACACACACACACACAAACACACGCACAGAGAGACUUUUGCAGCACUGUGGACUCUGGAACAAACCGCUUUGGCCCCGGAAAGGGGGUGGGAGUUGGAAAGAGGAAAGGGAGGUGAGCUUUUUCCUUAUCAAUUCCUUCUUAAUGCUUUGCUUGGCUCGUUGCUAGACUUCUUGGUCCUCGCAUCGCCGCAGGUGGACGAAAUGGACGGUGGGGAUACGUUGC